GCCCGCUCAGAAACUCAAUGAAUUGACGGGGCCCGCACAAGCGGAGGAGCAUGUGGUUUAAUUCGAUGAUACGCGAGGAACCUUACCUGGGCUCGAACGUAAGAUGACUGUAGGUGAAAGCUUACAUCUCUUCGGAGCAUUUUACGAGGUGCUGCAUGGUUGUCGUCAGCUCGUGCCGUGAGGUGUCGGGUUAAGUCCCAUAACGAGCGCAACCCCUACCUUUAGUUGCCAUCAGGUAAUGCUGGGGACUCUAAAGGAACUGCCUACGCAAGUAGUGAGGAAGGCGGGGAUGACGUCAAAUCAGCACGGCCCUUACGUCCAGGGCUACACACGUGCUACAAUGGCCGAUACAGAGGGCAGCUACCUGGUGACAGGAUGCAAAUCUCCAAAGUCGGUCUCAGUUCGGAUCGGAGUCUGCAACCCGACUCCGUGAAGUUGGAUUCGCUAGUAAUCGCGCAUCAGCCAUGGCGCGGUGAAUACGUUCCCGGGCCUU
RNAcentral lists this ribosomal RNA (493 nucleotides) under uncultured Sphingobacteriales bacterium. Its description in RNAcentral is "bacterial SSU rRNA". It matches the Rfam family "Bacterial small subunit ribosomal RNA", at positions 904 to 1382 of the family's 1533-position model. The record is from RNAcentral. Lineage: Bacteria; Pseudomonadati; Bacteroidota; Sphingobacteriia; Sphingobacteriales.